GCAAUCGAGGUAUUGGCUGGGGCUGUAGUUGCUGGCAGGAUUCAGUUCCUCAUAAACAAAUGGACUGGGUGACUCACUUCCUCGUUUCUUAUUAUCCAGAAGCUGCUCUUAGUUUCUUGCCACAUGGGUUUCUUCAUAGGAGAGCUCACAAAAUGGUGGCUGGCUUCAUGACAGAAAGCAAGACAGGAGAGAAGAGGAGAAAAGAGAAAGAGAAAGAGAGGUGUCAGGCUCUUUUAUAGCCUAAUCUUGACUAUUCUUGACAGAUGGCAGAAGGUGAAGGGAAGGGAGCUGAUUACUUUCCUCAGACAACGAAGAGUGAGACUCAUGGGGCAGUAUUUAUCAGAGCUGGCUGGCAAGAUGGCCGAA
This is a long non-coding RNA of Sapajus apella (tufted capuchin), 366 nucleotides long. RefSeq lists it as uncharacterized. The record is from RefSeq and is a predicted model, not a curated record. Lineage: Eukaryota; Metazoa; Chordata; Mammalia; Primates; Cebidae. The transcript has 3 exons.